This 107-nucleotide microRNA precursor is filed under the name Canis lupus familiaris (dog). RNAcentral's name for it is "mir-8834 microRNA precursor family". It matches the Rfam family "mir-8834 microRNA precursor family". The record is from Rfam by way of RNAcentral. RNAcentral also lists the same sequence under 1 other name. Lineage: Eukaryota; Metazoa; Chordata; Mammalia; Carnivora; Canidae.
AGGAGGAACAACCGCAGUGGUGGCGGCCAGCUAUGGAGCCCUGGAUUCAGCUCCCGCAGUAACUCCAGAGCUCUCUGUCUGCAGGGCGUGGAGGCUCCUGAGGCGGG